This 391-nucleotide long non-coding RNA is filed under the name Cicer arietinum (chickpea). RNAcentral's name for it is "long non-coding RNA (CARI_LNC000543)". The record is from RNAcentral. Lineage: Eukaryota; Viridiplantae; Streptophyta; Magnoliopsida; Fabales; Fabaceae.
UGUUUAUUAAUAACAACAUAGUGUGCAUAAAAGUGCAGUUUUCUCUUACCGCAAGCCAUAUCAUGAUUUGGUUGAAGUGAGUCACGAAGACAACAUUCACUGCAACAUAAAUUCUGCAAAGGCAUUCUAUCACUCUAGCUCUCAUUCCAUUAACUUCACCACCCCAGGAGAUGCCUCAAUUCAUUCAAAAAGUUCCACAUUUUAUCUAUGUUUGUGUAUAAAGAGUGAAUGUUUGUGUUCACACAUGUGCUUUUGGUGUGUGUUAUAAUUUCAAUUUGUAUCUGAGUCACAAAGGCAGUAGAGUAAAUCAUAAUGAGGUACAUGCCUAACACAACACAGUUCAACGUUGCUCCCAAAGAGUGAAUGUUUGUGUUCACACAUGUGCUUUUGG